CUAGACUUGUACUCGGGCUACAGACAGCAUGCUAAACGACUUCCAGGACAGGCCCAGAGCCAAGAGAAGAGCUGGUUUAUUUUGUCACCUCACUGAAACAGAGUGGAUGAAUUCACAUAAAAUACUCUGCUUUUAUGGAGGUAUCAAAUCUCCCAGUGCUUAAGGAUAGUUUUUGAGAGGACAUUACUUCUCAGUGCAAAUUUCUGCCAGUGAGUGGAUGUUAUUUCUUGAUGAAACUAAAGGGAGUGAAAAUAAAUGGGGAUGGGGGUGGGGGGAUGGGGUUGCGUGAAAUAGAUUAUUACAAUUCACUUUCUUUCGCACACACUGAAAAAUAACCCAAUUAUUUUCCAAGGUUACUACAGGCAUUCGGUCUUAUUUUAAUCACAGGCCCAGAGUGAAGGCUGAGCAGCAGCAGCAGCAGCAGCACAGAGAUAUGCUAUCAGACUGAGAAGGGCAGGAGUUAAAUUAUUCAAUAUCCCCUUAUAAUGAAAGGCAAAUCUUGAUUUUCGAUUGUCAGGGAUGUUCACACUUUGCAUCAAAUAUGCAUGAUUUUGUUUUCUUGUAUAUCUAAGACAUUCUUAUAAUUGGCUUUGUCCUCUUUAAAAUGUGGUUUCUCUUUAUCAAAUUAGGAUUUAAUUAACGACUGAGAGGACCAAGACACAGAAAAGGAAUCAGAUACAGUUUUCACACCAAGUAAGGGGGCUUAAAUCUGGACUAAAUACAAGAAGGACCCGAAUGCAGACCUCCUACCAAAAAGAAGGACUUUAAUCUGGACUACAUACAAAAUAGUAGUACCUGUAUGCAGACUUAAUACGGUGAAGAAGAUCCUCAUGCAGACCUCAUGUUAUGAAGGUAGAUUCAUACUGUAUCUGGACUAAACACAAAGAAGAACCCCAAUACAGACCUUGUAUUAAAACAGGACUGAAAACAGAAAAGGGCAGACAGACUCAAGACAGGAAGAAGACCAAGAUGCAAACAUACUAUUUAUAUCUGAACUAAAUAUAAAAACAGUACCAGGUACAGCUUAAUUUAGAAAAGUGGACCCAGAUGCAGUUUUCAUAUCAUAAAGAAAGACUUAGAUAUCUGAACUACAUACAAAAACAGUACCAGUUGCAGUUUGAUGAGGGAAAGGGGACCCAGAUGCAAACUUUUAUACAAGAGACAAGAAAACGGCAAAAUAAAUCAAGAAAUGUUUCCUAAACAACUGAAAUAAAUGAAACAUCUCCUCAAAUAAAACAGGACAACUUUACUGCUACCAUAUGAACAUUUUAAAGAAUGGUACUUAAAUAUGAAGGUCAUGUUAUUCUAGAGUGAUGUAAAACUGGAGUUUCCUAACAUAAAAAUACUGAUUCCCUAUCCUGUACUUGUAGGGAUUUCCCAAGACCUGCUCUUUUGGAAAGCGUCUUCAGAUAGGGCGCUUUAUGAAUAAAAAUUCAUUAAAAAUGUGUGCAACGCAACAUUUUGGCACCCCCCAACAAUCACUCUUCAAGUCAACUGUUUGGGUAUUUGCCAUGUCCUUUUCAGGCAGCUAGUAAAGUGAGUGAGUAAGUUAAGUUUAUUUACAUAGCACCUCUCAAGAACAGGGGUCACAAAGUGCUUCACAAUGAAAGAUUAAAAAGGCAAGUGACUUGUCAGCCGUAAGACGCCAUGUUUGAGAAUGUGCCCUACUCUAGCUUCACUUAGAGUUCAAACAGAGCCUUAAUUCACAAAGUGCCUGAAAUGAAGAGGACUAGAAACUAGUUACUAACACUGAGAAAAUGUUUGUCGAGGCUGCGUCAUUUCUUUUUGACUUUUUUCCAAUCAGACAUUUUUGUAAUACUCAGGCAGCAAGAUUUCAGCACCAUGGACAGAGAUCAACAGAG
Molecule: non-coding RNA, 1862 nt
Organism: Xyrichtys novacula (pearly razorfish)
Lineage: Eukaryota; Metazoa; Chordata; Actinopteri; Labriformes; Labridae
Source: the annotation of a GenBank genome assembly